AGCAGGGCCUUUGGAGACUCAAGAGGCUCCUCCCCAGAACAGCCCGACUCAGAAAGACCGUCUGAGAUCUUUUCCCAAGUCGGCCAGGCUUGUUGCAGCUUUUCUGGGCUGCAGGGGGUCCUGCCUGGAGCUGGCAGUCCUAUGCAGCUGGUCCACUAGGUCUCAGCACCCCCUGGGGUCUUGGGCGGGUAGCAGGGCCCUUGGAGACUCAAGAGGCUCCUCCCCAGGACAGCCCGACUCAGAAAGACCGUCUGGGAUCUUUUCCCAAGUCGGCCAGGCUUGUUGCAGCUUUUCUGGGCUGCAGGGGGUCCUGCCUGGAGCUGGCAGUCCUAUGCAGCUGGUCCACUAGGUCUCAGCACCCCUGGGGUCUUGGGCGGGUAGCAGGGCCCUUGGAGGCUCAAGAGGCUCCUCCCCAGGACAGCCCGACUCAGAAAGACCGUCUGAGAUCUUUUCCCGAUUCGGCCAGGCUUGUUGCAGCUUUUCUGGGCUGCAGGGGGUCCUGCCUGGAGCUGGCAGUCCUAUGCAGCUGGUCCACUAGGUCUCAGCACCCCCUGGGGUCUUGGGCGGGUAGCAGGGCCCUUGGAGGCUCAAGAGGCUCCUCCCCAGGACAGCCCGACUCCGAAAGACCGUCUGAGAUCUUUUCCCGAUUCGGCCAGGCUUGUUGCAGCUUUUCUGGGCUGCAGGGGGUCCUGCCUGGAGCUGGCAGUCCUAUGCAGCUGGUCACUAGGUCUCAGCACCCCCUGGGGUCUUGGGCGGGUAGCAGGGCCCUUGGAGGCUCAAGAGGCUCCUCCCCAGGACAGCCCGACUCAGAAAGACCGUCUGAGAUCUUUUCCCGAUUCGGCCAGGCUUGUUGCAGCUUUUCUGGGCUGCAGGGGUCCUGCCUGGAGCUGGCAGUCCUAUGCAGCUGGUCCACUAGGUCUCAGCACCCCUUGGGGUCUUGGGCGGGUAGCAGGGCCCUUGGAGACUCAAGAGGCUCCUCCCCAGGACAGCCCGACUCCGAAAGACCGUCUGAGAUCUUUUCCCGAUUCGGCCAGGCUUGUUGCAGCUUUUCUGGGCUGCAGGGGGUCCUGCCUGGAGCUGGCAGUCCUAUGCAGCUGGUCCACUAGGUCUUAGCACCCCCUAGGGUCUUGGGCGUGUAGCAAGGCCCUUGGAGACUCAAGAGGCUCCUCCCGGGGGAGCCCGUCUCAGAAAAACCGUCAGAGAAUUAGGUCGAUCUAUUCACGGCCUGGCUAGGCUUGUUCUAGCUUUUCUGGGCUGCAGGCCUUUUUUAGGGGGCUGGUGGUGUUUGGUGCUGCUCUGUGGAAGUGUAGCCCCUCCAAAGGGCAAGCAGGCCUGUGCAGGGAGAGCCCCUGCGGUGGUAGGCUUCAGG
Molecule: long non-coding RNA, 1369 nt
Filed under: Sus scrofa (pig)
Lineage: Eukaryota; Metazoa; Chordata; Mammalia; Artiodactyla; Suidae
Description: lncRNA (ENSSSCG00070006815.1)
Source: RNAcentral